RNAcentral lists this long non-coding RNA (202 nucleotides) under Panax ginseng (ginseng). RNAcentral describes it as "long non-coding RNA (PGIN_LNC007872)". Lineage: Eukaryota; Viridiplantae; Streptophyta; Magnoliopsida; Apiales; Araliaceae. The record is from RNAcentral.
UUGUGUUAUGGAAAACUUUAUUAUAUAGAGAGAUCACAUCCCGACCUGCGUGUCGACACUAUAUUAAUGAAUUGACCAAAAUUAACUUCAUGUUAACCACUUCCUCUUGAACAUCUUAAACUUGUGUUAUGGAAAACUUUAUUAGGGGGAGAAUUAUAAUCACCACUAUUCUGAUAUUGUUCCCUUUGCUUUUUGAUCCACC